AACAGGAGUUGCUGAACUUCUGAAUCGCUGAACACACGGAAGUGCUGGGAGGUGGUGCACCUGGAGAGCGCGUGGGAGCGCCGCGUCCUUCCGACCUUGACUCCACCUGUCUCCUUUGUGAUUCCCCGUCUUCUUUCACAAUAAUCCUGUGGCUUGGAAAUUAUUUUUUGCUGGUUCUGUAUUAUAAAAAAACAAAAAGCAUAACAAGACAAUACAAAACAACACCAAAGACUGAAAGAACUUGAUUCCCUGGUUCUACCUGAUCUGCAGAUUCUCCACCUUCUCCCACAAGCUCUACCUCUCUGCAUCCCUAAUCCAGCAUGGCCUUGCAGGACAGGACAGGCCCUGAGAGAUUUUUCUCUGGUGAUUUGCACUUAAUAAAGAGCCUUCACCUGCCAAAAUGAAACCUGACUGUGUGAAGUCACCUGGUGUGAUUGAGAAAGCACCCCAGCAACCCUGGAGGAGUCGGCGUUGGCUAUCCUUAUCUGUAGAGGAGAAAACUGAGACUGGAAAAUGUCCAGGUGGAGGACGAGUGGUUCUGAUUCUUGAGGUAAGGAUAAAGGGAAGAAAGUUGGAAUAGUGGGAGGGGAAAGGAAAGGGAGAGACUCACUUGUGUAUCACCUCCCAACAAAUGUACCGUGAGCCCUUUGUCACUGAAUAGCCACCAUGCU
Molecule: long non-coding RNA, 671 nt
Organism: Sciurus carolinensis (gray squirrel)
Lineage: Eukaryota; Metazoa; Chordata; Mammalia; Rodentia; Sciuridae
Exons: 3
Source: RefSeq, a predicted model, not a curated record